Molecule: ribosomal RNA, 257 nt
Filed under: uncultured bacterium
Lineage: Bacteria
Description: partial 16S ribosomal RNA
Rfam family: Bacterial small subunit ribosomal RNA
Source: RNAcentral
UACGGAGGGUGCAAGCGUUAUCCGGAUUCACUGGGUUUAAAGGGUGCGUAGGUGGGAAUGUAAGUCAGUGGUGAAAUCUCCGUGCUUAACAUGGAAACUGCCAUUGAUACUAUGUUUCUUGAAUUUUCUGGAGGUCAGCGGAAUAUGUCAUGUAGCGGUGAAAUGCGUAGAUAAUCAAGAGGAACACCUGAGGUGAAGACGGGUUGCCUGGGCCGACACGUGACGCUGAGUGCGCGAAAGCCAGGGGAGCAAACGGG